AUUGAACGCUGGCGGAAUGCUUUACACAUGCGAGUCGAACGGCAGCACGGACUUCGGUCUGGUGGCGAGUGGCGAACGGGUGAGUAAUGUAUCGGAACGUGCCCAGUCGUGGGGGAUAACGUAGUGAAAAUUACGCUAAUACCGCAUACGAUCUAUGGAUGAAAGCGGGGGAUCGCAAGACCUUGCGCGAUUGGAGCGGCCGAUAUCAGAUUAGGUAGUUGGUGGGGUAAAGGCCCACCAAGCCAACGAUCUGUAGCUGGUCUGAGAGGACGACCAGCCACACUGGAACUGAGACACGGUCCAGACUCCUACGGGAGGCAGCAGUGGGGAAUUUUGGACAAUGGGCGGAAGCCUGAUCCAGCCAUUCCGCGUGCAGGAUGAAGGCCCUCGGGUUGUAAACUGCUUUUGUACAGAACGAAAAGGUUUCUACUAAUACUAGGAGCUCAUGACGGUACUGUAAGAAUAAGCACCGGCUAACUACGUGCCAGCCGCCGCAGUAA
Molecule: ribosomal RNA, 500 nt
Filed under: uncultured bacterium
Lineage: Bacteria
Description: partial 16S ribosomal RNA
Rfam family: Bacterial small subunit ribosomal RNA
Source: RNAcentral